Molecule: long non-coding RNA, 186 nt
Organism: Bufo bufo (common toad)
Lineage: Eukaryota; Metazoa; Chordata; Amphibia; Anura; Bufonidae
Exons: 3
Source: RefSeq, a predicted model, not a curated record
GUGCUGUCAAGCCAUGGAGUCAAGGGGAUCCGAUUAGACUCCAAGCCUGACAGUAAACUGUACCAGCGUGUAGGACAUGCCCGGGAAGGAAGAACAAGUUUCCUGCCAGCCGUGGAGUCAAGGGGAUCCGAUUAGACUCCAAGGCUGACAGUCGAGGAACCACAUUGACGGACUUGACCUGGAUCU